RNAcentral lists this ribosomal RNA (465 nucleotides) under uncultured bacterium. Its description in RNAcentral is "partial 16S ribosomal RNA". It matches the Rfam family "Bacterial small subunit ribosomal RNA", at positions 28 to 507 of the family's 1533-position model. The record is from RNAcentral.
GACGAACGCUGGCGGCGUGCUUAACACAUGCAAGUCGAACGGAAAGGCCCAUUUGGGGGUACUUGCGUGGGGCACGGGUGGGUAAGACGUGCGUAACUUGCCCUUGCCUUCGGUCGAGCUUCAGGAAGCUGGGGCUAAUACAGGAUAGGCAUCAUCGCUGUAUGGUGGGGGUUGGAGAGCUUCGGCGGUUUUGGCUGGACUCGCGGCCUAUCAGCCUGUUGGUGGGGGAGUGGGUUACCAAGGCUUUGACGGGUAGCCGGCCUGAGAGGGCGAGCGGCCACAUUGGGACUGAGAUACGGCCCAGACUCCUACGGGAGGCAGCAGUGGGGAAUAUUGCACAAUGGGCGGAAGCCGGAUGCAGCAACGCCGCGUGCGGGAUGACGGCCUUCGGGUUGUAAACCGCUUUCAGCAGGGGCGAAGCUUGUUGUGACGGUACCUGCAGAAGAAGCACCGGCUAACUACGUG